Molecule: long non-coding RNA, 2114 nt
Filed under: Mus musculus (house mouse)
Lineage: Eukaryota; Metazoa; Chordata; Mammalia; Rodentia; Muridae
Description: long non-coding RNA chr4:14871605-14873719
Source: RNAcentral
UUAAAGGCUUGUACUACCACUGCCCACACCUAACACCUUUUUUAUUUUUAUUUUUAAAGAAUUAUUUAUUUUGUUUAUAUGAGUACACUGUCUCUGUCUUCAGACACACCAGAAGAAGGCAUCGAAUCCCAUUACAGAUGGUUUGUGAGCCACCAUGUGGUUGCUGGGAAUUGAAUAUAGGACCUCUGGAAGAGCAGUCUGUGCUCUUAACCGCUGAGCCAUCUUUCUAGCUCUCCUUUUUAUUUUUUAAAUGCAGGAUAUCCAGAAUGGUCUUGGUUUGAGAUGUUGUACAUAAAUCUAGUUGUCAUUUGAUGCAUUAGUAGCCUAUACACAACAAUGAAAGCAUUGUGUGCAAUACUCUGCCAACAAGAACAGAGAUCCAAACUAUGUCUAUUAGUUAUGUUACUGUAUUGAUCAGAAAAAUCUAGAGAAUAUCUUGAAAAGAGACCCAUGUGAUUUUCAGUUCUAGUAUCUUGUAGAAUAUAUGUCCAUAUAUAACCUUUAAUAGGAAGACCAAUGUUAUGAUGUCCUACACAAAUGGGAUGUGAUUCAAAUUCCAAGGUAAAGUUAAAUCCAGUCCAUUUCCAAGAUGAAUGGAUGAGCCUAUUAUGGUCUCAAGGUCCACUCAUAAACACAGCAUAAUCAAUAAAGUAACUGCUCCUGCAUUGCAUAGGUCCCAACUUGGGCCCAGGUGGACAGACUCUACUUCUGAUGAUAUGGUAUCUGAUAUCUCUCUUUGCCCUUUUACUAGAAGUUCACUAUCUUUUUGGUGACUUCCACUGUCUUCUUGCCUUCAGCCAGUGUCUUUGCUGGCCCAGUGCUGAAGGAGCUGAAGAGAAAUCCAUGUUUUAGUUGCUCCAUCUGUAUUGACGAAUGCACGCCCCUUCCCAAUUUUCUUCUGGAGAAGUAAAAAUUGGGCAGGUUAAUGCAUCAGCAUGAAUAUUUCCUUCUGAAAUAAAACUAGGGUGUUUAGAGUGUGCACAAGUAUGACUCUAUUCCUGGAAAUAAUUGUAUAACCUAUGUUAAGGGGUGUUUAAUUAACCAUAUUAUAUGAAUCAAAACAUCCAGACCCACUUGAUGGGCUGGAGAAUCUCCCUGCAUACUUGAAGAACCAAGGUUGGUAAUCUGUUGAUAAGAAGAAAUAAUAUAGAUGGAAGGACUUAUUCUUCACACACACACACACACACACACACACACACACACACACACACACACGUAAACUUUGUUUAAAUGUUUGUUAUUUGCCAAAGAUUCGGAGACCCACUGGAAGUCACAAGAAAUGUCCUGUCAGUCUAUGAUGCUGAAAUGCAUGUUCUUGAUAAAUAUGAAAACUUGAUUUUUAUGUUAUUAUAAUUCAAUUACUUGAGUUAAGGGAUAUCUAUCAAUUAUUUCUUAAGUCAAAUUUUGUCUCACUGAGGCCACAUUUUCAUUAAGGAUGAAGUAUAGGGGCUGGAAAGAUGGCUCAGUGGUUAAGAGCACUGACUGUCUUUACAGAGGUCCAGAGUUCAAUUCUCAGCAACCACGUGGGGGCUCAUAACCAUCUGUAAUGGGAUCCUCUUCUGGUGUGGCUGGAGACAGCUACAGUGUACCCAUAUACAUAAACUAAAUAAAGAAAGAAGAAAAAAGAGAAAGUAUAUUUGCUUCUGGUACUCCAGUGGCAUGCCAAGCCCUUCCUGUCAGAAUCCUUUUCCUGUAUUCCCUAAGCACUGGCCUUCAAGGUUCUUUUAGUUUGUUUUAUAAUUCUCACAUUUCACUCAGUCCCCCCCCCCAGCAUCUUUAAAAUGUUAAAUUAAGCUUCACCCCCCUCCUUUCAGCCUCCCUUUCAAAAUUUUGAGUGCCUAUUAUGCUAUUCAUAUGCUGAAGAACUUCCAUUCAUUUGAGCUGUGUACUCUAAGCCCUGUAAUUUCAGAAUAAUAAGCAAGGAACAGCGUUGUUUCAGAUGGGCUAUCAGGAAAGGCAUUUCAGAGGUAACAAUCACAGAGUCCUGAAAAGUGAGUCAGAAUCAGCCAUCAAAAUUUUAGAGCAAAGAAGAGAUUUCUAGGCAAAGGGGUCAGGAAAUAUAAUUCCUGCAGUUUUACAGCUGGGCAUACCGCAGGUAAGAACAUGGGGAUUCC